CGGAAGUAAAAGUUCGUAACAAGGUUUCCGUAGGUGAACCUGCGGAAGAUCAUUAAAAAAUAUCACACGUUUUAUGGUGUGAUUUAAUAAUCAUCCUACCCUUUGUGAAUUUGUUUUGUUUUGAAAAUUUAUGUGGUCUAUCCCUGAUGGUUUUUGGAAAAGUUGAAAAACUUUUUCAAAUCCUCAGGGACUAGGCUUUCAUAGACCUUUUUUUAAAUUAACUUUUUGUAUUCAUUUGUCUAAAUUUAUUUUUAAUAAUUUAAAAACAACAUUUGACAAUGGAUCUCUUGGUUCUCGCAACGAUGAAGAACGCAGCAAAAUGCGAUAAGUAAUGUGAAUUGCAGAAUACGUGAAUCAUCAAUCUUCGAACGCAUAUUGCACUUUUUUAGUUUACUAAAAAAAGUAUGUCUGUUUGAGUAUCAGUAAAUAUUCUCAUAAAAAAUAUUUUUGUUUUUUAUGGUUAUGAGUGUUUUACAACGAUAACAAGUUGUUUCACUUUAAAUUGAUUUUUUAAAAUAAGCCAAUUUGGUUUAUUUCUAAAUUGGAUAAAAUUUUCCCGUAAAAAGGAAUAACUUUCAGUUUUAAAAUAAAUCUUAAAUUGGACUUUGAUAAAAAGGAAAUUUAUCUAAAUAACUUGAUCUCAAAUCAGAUAAGAGUACCCGCUGAACUUAAGCAUAUCAAUAAGCGGAGGAAAAGAAACUAACAAGGAUUCCCUUAGUAACGGCGAGUGAAGCGGGAAGAGCUCAAAUUUGAAAUCUCAAGGUUCUACCUUGACGAAUUGUAGUUUAUAGAAGUGUUUUCUGUUAUGGAGUGGCAAAAGUUCUUUGGAAUAGGACAUCAUAGAGGGUGAGAAUCCCGUAUUGGUCAUUCCUCCUGAGCGUUGUGAUCACUUUCAACGAGUCGGAUUGUUUGGGAAUGCAGUCCAAAAUGGGUUGGUAAAUUUCAUCUAAAGCUAAAUAUUGGCGAGAGACCGAUAGCGAACAAGUACCGUGAGGGAAAGAUGAAAAGAACUUUGAAAAGAGAGUUAACAGACGUGAAAUUGUCGAAAGGGAAGCGCUUUGACACCAGUGUUGUUUUUCCGAAAAUCAAUUACGAAUGUUUUGUUUUUGAGGAGUUAUGACUUCAUCGGCUUGCUCCUUUCUUUACGAAACUCUUCUUAAUGCACUUUUCGGUUAACAAGUCAACAUCAAUUUCUUUUGUUGUAAAAGGGUAUGAGGAAGGUGGCUUUCUUUUCGGAGAAGUGUUUAUAGCCUGUGCCUCUGCAAUCGGAGAGAUUGAGGUCUGCAGCGUAGAUCC
This 1296-nucleotide unclassified non-coding RNA is filed under the name uncultured Neocallimastigales. RNAcentral describes it as "partial contains small subunit ribosomal RNA, internal transcribed spacer 1, 5.8S ribosomal RNA, internal transcribed spacer 2, and large subunit ribosomal RNA". The stretch from base 636 to 1296 matches the Rfam family "Eukaryotic large subunit ribosomal RNA", at positions 1 to 611 of the family's 3401-position model. Lineage: Eukaryota; Fungi; Neocallimastigomycota; Neocallimastigomycetes; Neocallimastigales. The record is from RNAcentral.